RNAcentral lists this ribosomal RNA (610 nucleotides) under Saccharomyces cerevisiae (brewer's yeast). RNAcentral's name for it is "eukaryotic LSU rRNA". It matches the Rfam family "Eukaryotic large subunit ribosomal RNA", at positions 45 to 664 of the family's 3401-position model. Lineage: Eukaryota; Fungi; Ascomycota; Saccharomycetes; Saccharomycetales; Saccharomycetaceae. The record is from RNAcentral.
AAAAAGCGGAGGAAAAGAAACCAACCGGGAUUGCCUUAGUAACGGCGAGUGAAGCGGCAAAAGCUCAAAUUUGAAAUCUGGUACCUUCGGUGCCCGAGUUGUAAUUUGGAGAGGGCAACUUUGGGGCCGUUCCUUGUCUAUGUUCCUUGGAACAGGACGUCAUAGAGGGUGAGAAUCCCGUGUGGCGAGGAGUGCGGUUCUUUGUAAAGUGCCUUCGAAGAGUCGAGUUGUUUGGGAAUGCAGCUCUAAGUGGGUGGUAAAUUCCAUCUAAAGCUAAAUAUUGGCGAGAGACCGAUAGCGAACAAGUACAGUGAUGGAAAGAUGAAAAGAACUUUGAAAAGAGAGUGAAAAAGUACGUGAAAUUGUUGAAAGGGAAGGGCAUUUGAUCAGACAUGGUGUUUUGUGCCCUCUGCUCCUUGUGGGUAGGGGAAUCUCGCAUUUCACUGGGCCAGCAUCAGUUUUGGUGGCAGGAUAAAUCCAUAGGAAUGUAGCUUGCCUCGGUAAGUAUUAUAGCCUGUGGGAAUACUGCCAGCUGGGACUGAGGACUGCGACGUAAGUCAAGGAUGCUGGCAUAAUGGUUAUAUGCCGCCCGUCUUGAACCACGGGACCA